UACUAUAAAUUUCCAGGUUUCUGACGGCUCUAAUUAUUUAUUUUCACUUUUUCGCACAGAUCAGUCUAUAGUGAAGAUGAAAUUUCUUUUUGCAGUUUUUAUAAUUUCAACUUUUGUUUUCUCAGGUAAGAACUGUUUAUCAGUUAAAGACUUGUGCAUAUAUAUAAUUAAAAUAUAGUUUCUACAGUUUUCUAUUAAUUAAUGUGGACUAUCCCGAACAUUGCUGGGAUAGCUUGAGUAGCUGGGCAGCUUGGUUAACACACAGCACACAAAACCCAUGAUUAAUUGCAAAGUAUUUCAUUGCCAUUGGUCAAGACUUGUUCACGACAGCCACGGGCAAAUAUAGUGGAAACUAGACAUUAAGAAAUAUAAAAGACAAUUUUAAACAAAAAAGUCUUCAAACGUAUUUUAUUCAGUGUGUUCUCAGGAAUUCAAAGGUACGAAGGCUACCCAAUAAUAUAUGUACCACUUGAAGCGGAACUGAAAUGCAUGGUUUAAGUAUAACUUGGCACUGUAUUGUGUUCAACUGACAUAUGGAAUUAUUCAUCAUUGAAUCAACUAUUAAACUUUUCUGGCGUGUUAGGUUAAAAAAGAAUGCUCAAUUAAGAUGUUUUCAUAAUAUGUAAAAUAAUAUGAUUCUGUCAUUUGGAAGAUGUUUUAAAAGGAAUAGGGACAAAUCUUUUCUCCUAUUCUACAUUUCAUCCAGUAGCAAUGGCUAACUGGGUUGCAUUGUUACUGAAUAUACUUUUUAAUAUAACUGAUUAAUGUAUUCUGUUCUGUCUUAGGCCAUGCUGCGUCUUAUUGGACUAACUGGCUGGACCGAGAUAAUCCUUCAGGCUAUGGGGACUAUGAAACGUACAGUUCUUUUGUG
Non-coding RNA from Paramuricea clavata, 871 nucleotides. Lineage: Eukaryota; Metazoa; Cnidaria; Anthozoa; Malacalcyonacea; Plexauridae. The record is from the annotation of a GenBank genome assembly.